GAAAAUAUUGCGUUAUAUGAUCAGGCGCCUUGAGGGGCUCCGCUUGCCAGAUACGGUAAUUGAAUAAUUAAUUUAAAAAUCGAAGAAAUCAGGAAACGACAUUGGAAAAAAUCUAGAAAUGAACUUGAGGUCGUGCCACUCCACCUGCAUAUCAUUGGGUGCUAGCAGGGGAUGGAGAAGCCUACGAAUCAAGGAUCUGAUUACAAAGUUCGACAACGACUGAGAACUGAUUUGAGGUGUUACACUUACGUGUCUACCAAGAACGGAAUCACGACAAUGCACAGUGAACAUGGAGUGAAUCAACUAUGCCAUUCAAACUUGAUGCAAACUGACUUUGUCACUCAUUGAUCCCUGGGCCCCUCUGAAGAUAAUUUAAAUGACAAUACGCUGCGAUGAUGAAGUUAGUCUUUGAAGUGUCCAGUUCUGCUGAUGCUCUUGAUGUAUUCAUUUUUCAAGGGAAGAAUUGUCGUAG
This 472-nucleotide unclassified non-coding RNA is filed under the name Athalia rosae (coleseed sawfly). Its description in RNAcentral is "misc RNA ENSAEAG00005011219.1". The record is from RNAcentral. Lineage: Eukaryota; Metazoa; Arthropoda; Insecta; Hymenoptera; Athaliidae.